This 255-nucleotide ribosomal RNA is filed under the name uncultured bacterium. RNAcentral describes it as "partial 16S ribosomal RNA". It matches the Rfam family "Bacterial small subunit ribosomal RNA", at positions 524 to 776 of the family's 1533-position model. The record is from RNAcentral.
UACGUAGGGUGCGAGCGUUUGUCCGGAAUUAUUGGGCGUAAAGAGCUCGUAGGCGGCUUGUCGCGUCGAAUGUGAAAACUCGGGGCUCAACUCCGAGCUUGCAUUCGAUACGGGCAGGCUAGAGUUCGGUAGGGGAGACUGGAAUUCCUGGUGUAGCGGUGAAAUGCGCAGAUAUCAGGAGGAACACCGGUGGCGAAGGCGGGUCUCUGGGCAGUAACUGACGCUGAGGAGCGAAAGCGUGGGGGAGCGAACAGG